CUACAACACCAUGGCUUUAGUGCGUGUCCUUCUGGUCAGAAAACAAGAAGAGCUCUAGCAAAGUUCAUGUAGCAUGUAGUUCGGUACUAUCAAAAUUCAAAAGCAAACAGUGAGACAGUGGGACCUUUAAAUCUAUGGGAUGGAGCAUUUCGUGUAAAUAAUUUUAGGGACCGUGUGGGGUGCUUUUCAAAUCUCCCAACCCGCAAAC
This 208-nucleotide long non-coding RNA is filed under the name Glycine max (soybean). RNAcentral's name for it is "long non-coding RNA (GMAX_LNC003044)". Lineage: Eukaryota; Viridiplantae; Streptophyta; Magnoliopsida; Fabales; Fabaceae. The record is from RNAcentral.